This 92-nucleotide microRNA precursor is filed under the name Canis lupus familiaris (dog). RNAcentral describes it as "mir-8799 microRNA precursor family". It matches the Rfam family "mir-8799 microRNA precursor family". Lineage: Eukaryota; Metazoa; Chordata; Mammalia; Carnivora; Canidae. The record is from Rfam by way of RNAcentral.
GGGGGAGCGCCGGAUCCUGGGCUGUGUCCCCCGGCACCCUGGGCUCUGGGGCCUGCGCCACUGGAAUCGCCCUCCCGGCCAGGCAGCCCCUC